ACUCAUACCUUACAGGAGAAAUACCAUGUUGUAUAGGUAGUUUCCCCAAGAAGAAGCUCAUUCAUUGUAUUUUAGGUAUGAUGUUGGUUCCUGUGAUUUUCCUAAAUAUGGGAAAAUUAACUGCAUAAAUUAUGUUAGUGGGACAUUGUACUUGUGGUUACUCCUG
This 166-nucleotide small nuclear RNA is filed under the name Pogona vitticeps (central bearded dragon). RNAcentral's name for it is "U1 spliceosomal RNA (ENSPVIG00000000692.1)". It matches the Rfam family "U1 spliceosomal RNA". From Rfam's summary of the family: U1 is a small nuclear RNA (snRNA) component of the spliceosome (involved in pre-mRNA splicing). Its 5' end forms complementary base pairs with the 5' splice junction, thus defining the 5' donor site of an intron. There are significant differences in sequence and secondary structure between metazoan and yeast U1 snRNAs, the latter being much longer (568 nucleotides as compared to 164 nucleotides in human). Lineage: Eukaryota; Metazoa; Chordata; Lepidosauria; Squamata; Agamidae. The record is from RNAcentral.